UCCGAGUUACCCCGGCAGUCUUUCCAGAGUCCCCGGCAUUACCCGCUGGCAACUGAAAACGGGGGUUGCGCUCGUUGCGGGACUUAACCCAACAUCUCACGACACGAGCUGACGACAGCCAUGCAGCACCUGUGCAGGAACUCCGAAGAGGGCCUCUGGUUUCUCAGAGGUUUCUCCUGCAUGUCAAGCCUAGGUAAGGUUCUUCGCGUUGCGUCGAAUUAAACCACAUGCUCCACCGCUUGUGCGGGCCCCCGUCAAUUCCUUUGAGUUUCAGCCUUGCGGCCGUACUCCCCAGGCGGGGCACUUACUGCGUUAGCGACGACACUCAGGGGGUCGCUCCCCCAAGCAUCUAGUGCCCAUCGUUUACGGCGUGGACUAC
This 379-nucleotide unclassified non-coding RNA is filed under the name uncultured Gemmatimonadaceae bacterium. RNAcentral's name for it is "contains 16S-23S intergenic spacer region". Lineage: Bacteria; Pseudomonadati; Gemmatimonadota; Gemmatimonadia; Gemmatimonadales; Gemmatimonadaceae. The record is from RNAcentral.